UAAAUUGUGUAAUUUUUUUUUUUUUUUUGAGAGAUAGGUAGCAUGCUAUCAGUUUCGUUUAUUUCAUUUAGAAAUAAAUUUAGUUGGAACUGUAAAUCAGCUAGAUUCGAACUUGGAACCUCGGAUACCAACCACCAAACCCUUUGCGCGCCACUUGCUGUAGGAACGGCCGGUAAAUUGUGUAAAUGUUAGAAUUAUUUUUCU
RNAcentral lists this long non-coding RNA (204 nucleotides) under Ananas comosus (pineapple). RNAcentral describes it as "long non-coding RNA (ACOM_LNC032054)". Lineage: Eukaryota; Viridiplantae; Streptophyta; Magnoliopsida; Poales; Bromeliaceae. The record is from RNAcentral.